UACGAAGGGGGCUAGCGUUGCUCGGAAUCACUGGGCGUAAAGCGCACGUAGGCGGCUUUUUAAGUCAGGGGUGAAAUCCUGGAGCUCAACUCCAGAACUGCCUUUGAUACUGGGAAGCUUGAGUCCGGAAGAGGUGAGUGGAACUCCGAGUGUAGAGGUGAAAUUCGUAGAUAUUAGGAAGAGCACCAGUGGCGAAGGCGGCUCACUGGUCCGGUACUGACGCUGAGGUGCGAAAGCGUGGGGAGCAAACAGG
RNAcentral lists this ribosomal RNA (253 nucleotides) under uncultured bacterium. Its description in RNAcentral is "partial 16S ribosomal RNA". It matches the Rfam family "Bacterial small subunit ribosomal RNA", at positions 524 to 776 of the family's 1533-position model. The record is from RNAcentral.